UACGUAGGGUGCAGGCGUUAAUCGGAAUUACUGGGCGUAAAGCGUGCGCAGGCGGUUCGUUAAGUUCGAUGUGAAAGCCCCGGGCUCAACCUGGGAACUGCAUUGGAAACUGGCGGGCUUGAGUGUGGCAGAGGGGGGUGGAAUUCCACGUGUAGCAGUGAAAUGCGUAGAGAUGUGGAGGAACACCGAUGGCGAAGGCAGCCCCCUGGGCUAACACUGACGCUCAGGCACGAAAGCGUGGGGAGCAAACAGG
RNAcentral lists this ribosomal RNA (253 nucleotides) under uncultured bacterium. RNAcentral's name for it is "partial 16S ribosomal RNA". It matches the Rfam family "Bacterial small subunit ribosomal RNA", at positions 524 to 776 of the family's 1533-position model. The record is from RNAcentral.